RNAcentral lists this ribosomal RNA (489 nucleotides) under Causus rhombeatus. Its description in RNAcentral is "partial 16S ribosomal RNA". It matches the Rfam family "Bacterial large subunit ribosomal RNA", at positions 1846 to 2608 of the family's 2925-position model. The record is from RNAcentral. Lineage: Eukaryota; Metazoa; Chordata; Lepidosauria; Squamata; Viperidae.
UUAAAGGCAACGCCUGCCCAGUGAGUAAUUAAACGGCCGCGGUAUCCUAACCGUGCAAAGGUAGCAUAAUCAUUUGUCUAUUAAUUGUAGACUUGUAUGAAUGGCACUAUGAGAGCCCAACUGUCUCUUAUAACAAAUCAAUUAAACUGAUCUCCCAGUACAAAAGCUGGAAUAUCUCUAUAAGACCAGAAGACCCUGUGAAGCUUUAACUAAACUAUUAAACUCAAUAAUAACUAAUUUCGGUUGGGGCGACCUUGGAACAAAAAAGAACUUCCAAAUACGAGACAUUGUCUCAUACGGCUGACAAGCCCAUAGACCCAGUACACUGGUUAAUGAAAUAAGUUACUCCAGGGAUAACAGCGCUAUCUUCUUUAAGAGCCCAUAUCAAAAAGAAGGUUUACGACCUCGAUGUUGGAUCAGGACAUCCUAGCAAUGCAACCGUUUCUAAGGGUUCGUUUGUUCAACGAUUAAUAGUCCUACGUGAUCUGA